This 273-nucleotide ribosomal RNA is filed under the name uncultured bacterium. RNAcentral describes it as "partial 16S ribosomal RNA". It matches the Rfam family "Bacterial small subunit ribosomal RNA", at positions 524 to 796 of the family's 1533-position model. The record is from RNAcentral.
UACGAAGGGUGCAAGCGUUAAUCGGAAUUACUGGGCGUAAAGCGCGCGUAGGUGGUUUGUUAAGUUGGAUGUGAAAGCCCCGGGCUCAACCUGGGAACUGCAUCCAAAACUGGCAAGCUAGAGUAUGGCAGAGGGUGGUGGAAUUUCCUGUGUAGCGGUGAAAUGCGUAGAUAUAGGAAGGAACACCAGUGGCGAAGGCGACCACCUGGGCUAAUACUGACACUGAGGUGCGAAACCGUGGGGAGCUAACCGCAUCAGAUGGCCCCGUAGUUC